RNAcentral lists this ribosomal RNA (396 nucleotides) under uncultured bacterium. RNAcentral's name for it is "partial 16S ribosomal RNA". It matches the Rfam family "Bacterial small subunit ribosomal RNA", at positions 523 to 918 of the family's 1533-position model. The record is from RNAcentral.
AUACGAAGGGUGCAAGCGUUAAUCGGAAUUACUGGGCGUAAAGCGCGCGUAGGUGGUUCGUUAAGUUGGAUGUGAAAGCCCCGGGCUCAACCUGGGAACUGCAUCCAAAACUGGCGAGCUAGAGUAUAGCAGAGGGUGGCGGAAUUUCCUGUGUAGCGGUGAAAUGCGUAGAUAUAGGAAGGAACACCAGUGGCGAAGGCGACUGCCGGGGCUAAAACUGAGGCGGAGGUGCGAAAGCGUGGGGAGCAAACAGAAUUAGAUACCCGGGUGGUCCACGCCGUAAACGAUGUCGACUAGCCGUUGGGAUCCUUGAGAGCUGAGUGGCGCAGCUAACGCAUUAAGUCGACCGCCUGGGGAGUACGGCCGCAAGGUUAAAACUCAAAUGAAUUGACGGGG